GACGAACGCUGGCGGCGUGCUUAACACAUGCAAGUCGAACGGAAAGGCCCUGCUUGCAGGGUACUCGAGUGGCGAACGGGUGAGUAACACGUGGGUGAUCUGCCCUGCACUUCGGGAUAAGCUUGGGAAACUGGGUCUAAUACCGGAUAGGAGCCAUCUUUAGUGUGGUGGUUGGAAAGUUUUUUCGGUGUAGGAUGAGCUCGCGGCCUAUCAGCUUGUUGGUGGGGUAAUGGCCUACCAAGGCGGCGACGGGUAGCCGGCCUGAGAGGGUGUACGGCCACAUUGGGACUGAGAUACGGCCCAGACUCCUACGGGAGGCAGCAGUGGGGAAUAUUGCACAAUGGGCGCAAGCCUGAUGCAGCGACGCCGCGUGGGGGAUGAAGGCCUUCGGGUUGUAAACUCCUUUCGCUAUGGACGAAGCUUUGUUGUGACGGUACCUAGAGAAGAAGCACCGGCUAACUACGUG
RNAcentral lists this ribosomal RNA (466 nucleotides) under uncultured bacterium. Its description in RNAcentral is "partial 16S ribosomal RNA". It matches the Rfam family "Bacterial small subunit ribosomal RNA", at positions 28 to 507 of the family's 1533-position model. The record is from RNAcentral.